GAGAAGAAAACAGAUGACAUUAUUUAUAAACAAACUGGCAUUAUGAGCUGUACAGUGGGGAUGAUCAGAAACAAUGCUCACUCAUUUUUGGAUACUGUCAGACAAGUCAGAAAUAUUGUUUUACUCAACAAAAAAGUUUGAAGAUCUCUGUGGGUGUCAGAUAGGUAUUAACAACUUAUGGGUAAACAUCAAAGGAAAAAAAAAAUCUGGCACUCAGCCUCUUUUUGCCAGGAUAGAAAACGAUUGAGCAGAUGGUUUGUUCAGAAACUGCAGCCUUUAGGAAGAAGCUUGUUUGUAAAACUGAAUAUAUUUUGCAACCAACAAAGAUGUGGAAAUUUUUGUCCUUAGAAAGCUUUCACUGAUAACAAGAUGGGAAAGUCAGUACACUAUUCCAGUUCAAAAGGAGUAUCUACUCUAACUACGUUUUUUUUUUCUCUCUUAGCAGGUUGUGGCAGUCCAGUGCAACAGACCAUAAUUAAGCAUCUUGACAGGUUUAUGGAAGCCUUGCUCUCAGACAAAGACCCGUGUCAUUGUAUUCCUACUGCAGUGAAGAUGAAUAUGAUUAGCAGGGUUUUUUGUGGAUGGGAGACUUGAUUUCUUUACAUGCUCCCCCUACCUUUGGCUGCAUUUGUGAAGUAAUGUCCCAAUCUGCCAACCUGUAUUUUGUGGUACAGUCCUGUCUUUCAGCCCCUUCCAGCACAGAGAUUAAAUAGUAGCUUAACUAAUUAGCUUGUAAAAAUAUUAUGGAGUUUUUCACACAGCUUCAUGACUAUUGUCGUAAUUAAAUUCUGAAAAUGUGUCAGGGACUGGCAAAAUCUAUAUAGGUAUAUAAAAAUAUACAUAAAAAAUACAUGUAGAUGAUCAUCACUGGAUCCCAAUAUCACCAGGGAAGAAAGUGGCUUGCAAGGACCAUAGCCAAGUACCAUUGUUUAACUAUUCUGAGCACACAUCAUAGCAAAGGCCUACACACAACCUGUACAUCAUUGAAAAUACAAAAAUAAAAUUUAAAAAAAGGACAUUUUAUCAGGCACAGAGAAGAGGAGAAGCCACUCUCCUUUCAGGAGUCUCCUGAUGAGAUACAGCCUGGCUUUGUGAGAGCUGACUCAAUACAUGUACCCAGAUACUCAGCCCAAACAUUACAGGUUUGGGGAUUUUCUUUUUAUAUAUAUUUUUUCAUCCCUCUUACUUAUGACUUGAGUUUAUCAGAGGCAUAUGAUUGUAAUUAGCAAGACAUCACACCCAAGAAAUCAAGUUGCAGUGAGACACAGAGGUUGUAUUGGCUUGACUUCAGACUCAUUAGCUUAGGCUGGGUGCCAUAGGAACCCUUUCAUUGGAAUUCCAGUAAAUUCAGACCAUGGAGGAAAAACGAAAUUGUUAAGACUGUGCAGAGGGUAAACAAAAACAGUGCCACCAAUUUUUAGCUUACAGCUUAUCUUGACAACCAUUGUUUAAAGCCUGAGAUAUUUUGCCUCUGUUUCAUCUGUGAGAGGAGAUUGGCCUUUUCACUGGCAAUAGCUGUACCCAGCUUUCAUUUAUUCGCGCCCCAAACAUGAACAGUAUUAUUCCAGUCAACUCAUCACAUUAUCCUUACACUGGAAAGCAGGAGAGAGACAAUGACUAGGAAGACAAUUCAAGUAUUCCUAGGCAAAAAUUGAAAGCUUCUCUCUUUGCUGAGGACAAAUGCUGCAGUUUUUCACUGUUUGUAACUUUAGGUCUCCCACUUCAGUCACGGUUGAAACAGUGCCUGCAGAACAAGGUUGCUUCUAUUCUUCUUUAAAAUAUACAGUGCUGCAGAACUACUGUGUGUUCCCAGAAAUAGAGCCCAGGCUGAAGGAGGAAUUACAAAUCCUAAUAAAAUACCUGAAACCUUUUCUUUCUAUUCUUCAAGGAAAAAAUGGUCCCUCCAUGAGGGCUUUUUUUCCUGAACUAUAAAACCAACAGAAAAGAUGUAUAAUUGUAGGGUGCUAUAAACUGCUCAUAUGCUUCCCCCCAGUUUUAAUCAGAGGGGAACACACACCCCUCUUUGCCAUUUUCGGGGCUGCAGAAGCUUUGAUGUCAGUGGAGCUCUGCCAGCUCACAGCACCUCUCACUCCAGCCAGGAGUGUGUGUGGCAGGCCCAUGGCCACUCAUUACUGUCCUGCCAGGCUGCCAGUGCUUUCCUUCCUUUCUGAAAGCCUGGACUCACAAUGUGCUACAAAUGAGCUGAAGUUUGUGCUAAGCUCACCCACUCCUUUAUCAGAUUUGAGUCUUGGAAGGCAGUGACCCACAACUGGUGGUAGCUACCCAAAAGAGCCAACGUGAUGGGUCCUCUCCUCCUAGGAAAGGGUAGAGAGAAGGAAAGAAAUGGCUACAAGCCCAAGUAGAGAAGCAUGGAGAGAUGAGAGAGCAGGCUGGCCAUUGGAAGCCUCUUGCUUUCGUGCUUAAUAAGUGCAUGUUUGCACUUUGGAUGACAAGCUCACACAAGAAUAUUUUGAGACUGGAUUCUGCAGUUGGUGGCCUCAUUAUGGAGGGGACUUGGACCAUGCCUCAUGGCUCUUAUAAACUUAGUGGCAAAUAGAAAGGUGCCUGAAAUACUGGAGGUUUGAUUUUCAGAUGAGGGUGUUUUUACAUGCCUCCUUUUCUCUCAACAGAAACACGGUACCCUGCUAAAUUGGAGACUGAGCAUUUUAUUACUCCUUUUAAAUGAAAAGAGGAGCAGCAGAAGCAUGCUUAUAAAGAAGAACAGACAGGAUUUGUAAUGUUCAUAAAGCCAAAAAGCUAGGAAAUUAGAUAAAAGAAAACUAUCAGGGUUAUAUUCUUGUGAAGACUGAAACUGAGAUUGAGAAGUUCUCUAAGUGAAUUAUGAUUUACUGGAUAACAGAUACAGAAAAAUUUCACUACCAUUACCUAUAAAACUGCAUUGGUUUUUUAUCAAGUAGCUCUCUUUUAGCCCAUCGAGUUGAUGAACAUUCUUCUCAACUAGCAAAUAUAAAUGACUUAUGGGGAUAAUAUUUCAAUAUAUGAUGACAUUGCUAUACCUCAGAUUCUUUUAAGAUCUGGGUUAUUAAAUAUUAAAUAUCAAAGCUGUAAAUUAUUGUAGCAGCUUUAUACAACUAAAUUAAAUUCAAACAAAACCUAAUUUCCUUAAUCAUUGACUGUAAUCCUCCAGGAACAUAUGCUAUUAACUCAGCUACAAAUGGCAUAGAAAUUGUAUGACUUCUGUUAAAUUAUUUUAUAUCAAAUUCUAAUCCAGGGCAGAGACUUCAGUAAAUCUCCUGCAGGGAUUUUAAUGCUUCUGCAAUCAUAUUGGGUCUUUACUAGAGAGCUAAUCUUUUUAUACUCUGUUUUUUUCAUUCCUUUAUCCAUUUCCUUCACACCCUUACUGAGCUAUAGCUAGUACCUUCUAUCACAUAUCAUAUUUUGAAAGAUUUGGCUUUUCCCUCUUGAAUUUGAUCAGCAAUAGUUAGGCUUUCACUUAAGACAGAAUUUGAUAGGUUUUUUUGUUUCACAUGUAAAACUAAAUAAUUCCCAUUUGUUUCAACAUGUAUGUUAAUUGCCACUUGUGGUGAUCUCUUUAUAAGGCUGUCAUAAUUAUUCACAGUUUGCAGUCAAGCAUUGAGAAAGCAAAACAAUUUCCUCUUCUUUAAGAGCCCUAUGCAAGUAAAACUAAACAGAUUUAAUUUAAGCAAGAAACUUCCUUAGAGACUCAAGACAAUGAGUGGAUAAUAAAGAAACAAACCUUAGAGCCCUAGGAGGUAAAAGACUUGAAGAAACCUCCAGAGAUCAUCUAGUCAGUCCUCUACCCCAAGUGAUAACUAAACUGCUGUCAUCCCUGACAGACGCUCCCCUAACCUGUGCAUAAAAGCCUGCAACAUGGACAUCUCUCCACACAAUCUAUUUCAGUGCUUCACUGUCCUUCCUAGCAAGACAGGUCUCCAGACAUCUAAUUGCAUUUUCCCCCUUUUUGUUCCUCUUUAAGCCUUUUACUUCCUUCCCUCUGCUUUGGGACUGGUGAACAGGCAAUUCCUAAAACAUGGCAACUUCCAUCUCAGUUUUCUUUUCUCUACAUCAUUUUCUCUGAAUGAUGGUAUCUUAUUCUUUCCUCAGCAGUCUUGUUCAUCGCUGGACAUUCUAUCCUGUCAACUCUCCCUUGGAAAAGCAUCACUAGAAGUAGAGUAGUUUAGUUGAGGUUUUUCCCACACCAAGGAAGAGAGAAGAAAUAACUGAAAUCUGGCAUAUUACAGGUCUGUUUAUACAUCCCAGCAUGCCUCCUUCACAGCAGAAUACACUGCUGACUCACAUUGAAUUUAUGACCCCUUCUAAUCCCUGGUCUCUUCCAGCUUAAUACCCUAUAAUUAUUUCUUUAUGAAUAUUGUAAAUCAAAUCUUCAAAGUCUCUUGAACUGAAGGCAAUUAGCCAUUACCCUCAAAUUUCACUGCCUAAAACAUCCCAUUUCGUAAGCAAGAGAAGUAAAUUCUGAGAAUCUUUGUUCAGAGCUCCCGCAAAGAGUAAAAAACCCACCCUAAAACAGAACAAGCCACUGCAUAUUAUCACAAAAUCUCACAGAACUUUUGUUCUGGAAUUCCUCUUCACAAGGAUUUCCUGAGCCCUGCACUCCAGUUCAAACUGGAGUCCCUCCAGGUACUUGAACAGGGGUCUUGUGAUUCUAUAAGCACUGCAACCUGACAAGGAUGUCACUUUAGCCACCUGAAUGGAGCCAUUUGUUUAAGUAAUUUCCUACUAUAGAAACACUCCUGCCCUUCUCUGCUGGCUCCUCCCUCAUUGAGCCAAGGUAGGGCAGCACUUCAGCUAAGGCCCUUCUAAGCCCAAGAUGGACAUUGGCAGGUUUCAGCUCUGUAUCUAUGUGCCAGUGUGACCCUCCAUCACUGCUGACCCAUGUUCAGCUAGUGAAGCACCUCCUACCCUAGUUUGGUUUGAGAACUGGUGCAAUUUCACAUUUCUCACAGUUAUGUUUAGUGCAAUCAUCAUAGUGACUCAACCUAAAGGCAGGAAUUAUUCAACACAGGCACAGAGAUCCUGUGGCACAGUUUUUAAAGUGCCAGCUUCCCUAUUCCUGCAAAAAGGUCAUUGGUGCUGGGGGCACAGUAAGGUUUAAUAUUUCCCAAAUGUGUCAAACAUGCUGCAAUUGGCUGUUAUGUGGCAGAGCUGUGCAGUAGACCUUGCCAAGGUGUCUUGGAUGAAAAUCCCACACAAUGUGAUGCAUGUUCACACCACUGUGUCCAGGCUUUGCCAGAGUACAGCAGCUCCUGUAAACAUUAACUCUUAAGGGUUCCCAGGGAAUGGGAGAAAAAAAAGCUAGGGAAGAGGAUGUAUCAUUAGUAGAGCAUUCUAUACAAAUAGACAUGAAUCUGGCUUUCACCUUGAGUCCGACCAACACUACAACCCACACCAGAUCAAUUUCUUCAGACAUCAAAAAGUCUCUACUAAUGCAGUCAUUUCAGGUCAGGGCAAAGGUCCAUCUAAUUCCACUGUCUGCAUCCAUCAUUAGACCUAACUCCAACCUUAGGAAAAGAGUAGAAAAAACAAGGUAAACAAAGUUCCUCCCGAGACAAUUCUCUAGUCCAUGAUCAACUAGCCUGACAAGUCUAAGACGCAGAUCAGUAGAAACUAUGAAAAUUUAAUUGAUGGAACACUAGCACAUACAGAGUCAUAGAGAAAAAAAAAUCCUAAAAUUACCCCUUCUGUAAGGUUCUGUGCAGGAGUCAGUGCUUUCUCAUACUAUACUGUGCAUCUGUACUCAUGCUGGGACUGCACUCCCCCUAGAAAUACCACACCUGAGGGCUUCUGUACCCCCUGGCUGUCCACUGACCAAUUCCCUGGCAGACUUCCUAGUCACAACAUGUUUGAACAGAUAACUGACAUUUUAAUUAAUAUGUUUAAUUGCUAAUUGUCCCUCACACUCCUUCAGCCAGCCUUAUCAUGUUUGUCCAUACUAGAGCUCAUAAUUUUUUCAGUUUUCUUCAGCUGGACAGCAUUUCAGCUUUUUGAAGAAUGCCUUCUUGCUCCUGCAGUCUCACUUACCCUGCAAAUUUUCUUCUCACUCUCUCAAGUUUCUCUUGAUGCACCGUUAUUAUCUCUGCACUUCCCAUGUGAUUUACAGAAGCAAAAUCCACACUCCCUGCAAAGAGUUAGGUGUUCCAUCUGUCUUAUUUUCAACAUGCCUGCUGAUCUGUGUCUAAUUUUCCUUUUUGAAGCUGAGCAGAGCAAUGGUAGAGAACUCUGGCUUGUCUUACUCCUGCAAGGAUGCCAAAUCUAAGCACAUAAAGAUCUCCCUCUCAGGGGACCUCUUCAGCUGUUACUCCCUACAUCAUAUCCCAUAAACCACUCAAGAUUCAAGUCAAGCACUGCCUUCAUGGGUUCCUGAACCAGUUGCUCCACAAAACAGCCACUGAAACAUCUAAAAAUGCACUCUGUCAAGUCCGGAUAAAUAUUUGCCUCUUAUAGGCCAAAGAAAUUAAGCUGCCCAUGAGUACUUCCCACCCUACUCAGGCUGCUGCACUGCCAUCACGGUCCACCACUGAGCAGGCAGAGUCAAUAUUGUAUCUUCUUACUUAAGUUUGGGACUUUCACUGUUGUGAAGUUUGGAUUGUUCAUUGAUGAAACUACCUUGGUUAAGCAGUUCAGCUCCCACAUGUCUUCAACAUGCAGAAUUACUUAGCUCUCAGCAAAUCUCUCUGCAUCCUUCCUGAGCAUAGUAUCAUGAGAAUGUUGCACUGCUUAUCCUUCCAAGUUUUGUGACAUCUAUCUGCCCUGUAAGGACCUCCAUGAACAAUAGGACAUACCAGUUCCCCAAGUCAUUUCUUUGACAUUAAGCACUCCCACAGAGGAAUAUCUUGUUUAAACAAUCUCUUCAAUCUGUCUGUUCCCAGUUUCCUCUUCAACUACAUUUGACCUUAACACCAGCGGAAGGGCUGUGAACCAGCAGCACCCAAGGCACGAUAUGGCAGGGUGGCUAUUGGCAGGGAUUAUCUAUAGUAGGUCUUUGACUUGAAUUCAUUUUCCUCUGAGCAUGAGGAGCUCGAUUUUGUUCCUUCAAAAAGACAUACUACGCAGUCCAUUUAUUUACUCAGGCGUUUCCCAAGCGAGUCAUCUCUACUGCGGAAUGGACUUUUGUUUUCCUUUUUUUCUGGGCAGGGUUAAAGUAAAGUAGUAUUCCCUUAUCCCCUGCCCCAAAGGAUAUCAGCUGGCCAGCACCAGCACUUCAUAAAAGAAGAGGCUUGGCUUUGCAGUAAGGAAAAUUUGGAUCUUAGCAAUUGAGGAAAAAUACCUUCUUAGAAAGGUCACAGCUCUCAGAAGAAUAGCAUCUUGUGUUUAAAUAGAACAGGAUUGUUUAAAUUAAAUCAAGGCAGUUAAGACCUCUGAAACUCCACAGUACUUUACACGGACUUGAUUCUCCACUUGCAUUUUACAGUUGGCUAUCUCAAUUUAAGUGCUUUGGCAGUAAAUUACCAAAAAACUGGAACAACAUAGUAAGUGACCUCACAGUCAAACUUUAGUGCAUUUUUGGUAUAUGCCCCUGUUGACCAAUUCAGUAAAAUUAGCGUUAGCCCAGAUUUCAUCCCUGUUUCUGGAGUUCUGCAACUGGCCUGCUUCUUAGUCCUGAAGUAGGGUGUAGAUCAUACAAUAGAGUGUUUGACUAGAUUUCAGAUUCUGACUUCUGCUGCACAAGACAUUCCAGUAUUGAAUGAAGCAUACAAGUUCUGCUUUCUACAUUGCAAUAUUAAACUAUUUUAAAAGCUCCUAAACAUGAAUUCUCUUUCAGGGAGAGCAGAAAGAGGGGUUUAAAUGGUUUGCACUCUCAGAAAUGGAGAGUGGAGCUUUCAGCAAAAAUGGUUCAAAUUAAAACGUGCCUUUCGUUGUAUCUUUGCUGGAAAUGCACGAGGCGAGAGCAGCAAGUGGGGCUGCGGAGCGAUGGUAACUGGGCGAGAGGGAAAAUCUCGAUCUGUUUGGUCCUUGAGCCGAUCUAGGGGAGACAGAAACAACGCUCCCCCAUCCCUGCCUUGGGCCGGCCAGGGCUGUUCCGAGCCUGCAAACCACUGCAGCAU
Molecule: long non-coding RNA, 8045 nt
Organism: Taeniopygia guttata (zebra finch)
Lineage: Eukaryota; Metazoa; Chordata; Aves; Passeriformes; Estrildidae
Source: Ensembl